Molecule: ribosomal RNA, 464 nt
Filed under: Vreelandella stevensii
Lineage: Bacteria; Pseudomonadati; Pseudomonadota; Gammaproteobacteria; Oceanospirillales; Halomonadaceae
Description: partial 16S ribosomal RNA
Rfam family: Bacterial small subunit ribosomal RNA
Source: RNAcentral
CCUACGGGGUGCAGCAGUGGGGAAUAUUGGACAAUGGGCGAAAGCCUGAUCCAGCCAUGCCGCGUGUGUGAAGAAGGCCUUCGGGUUGUAAAGCACUUUCAGUGGGGAAGAAAGCCUUGGGGCUAAUACCCUCGAGGAAGGACAUCACCCACAGAAGAAGCACCGGCUAACUCCGUGCCAGCAGCCGCGGUAAUACGGAGGGUGCGAGCGUUAAUCGGAAUUACUGGGCGUAAAGCGCGCGUAGGCGGUCUGAUAAGCCGGUUGUGAAAGCCCCGGGCUCAACCUGGGAACGGCAUCCGGAACUGUCAGGCUAGAGUGCAGGAGAGGAAGGUAGAAUUCCCGGUGUAGCGGUGAAAUGCGUAGAGAUCGGGAGGAAUACCAGUGGCGAAGGCGGCCUUCUGGACUGACACUGACGCUGAGGUGCGAAAGCGUGGGUAGCAAACAGGAUUAGAUACCCUGGUAGC